GUGAGGAAUUUUCCGCAAUGGGCGAAAGCCUGACGGAGCAAUGCCGCGUGUGUGAAGAAGGUCUUCGGAUUGUAAAGCACUUUAAGUUGGGAGGAAGGGCAGUAAGUUAAUACCUUGCUGUUUUGACGUUACCGACAGAAUAAGCACCGGCUAACUUCGUGCCAGCAGCCGCGGUAAUACGAAGGGUGCAAGCGUUAAUCGGAAUUACUGGGCGUAAAGCGCGCGUAGGUGGUUUUGUAAGUUGGAGGUGAAAUCACCGGGCUCAACCUGGGAACUGCCUCCAAAACUGCAUGACUAGAGUACGGUAGAGGGUAGUGGAAUUUCCUGUGUAGCGGUGAAAUGCGUAGAUAUAGGAAGGAACACCAGUGGCGAAGGCGACUACCUGGACUGAUACUGACACUGAGGUGCGAAAGCGUGGGGAGCAAACAGGAUUAGAUACCCCUGUAGUCC
RNAcentral lists this ribosomal RNA (450 nucleotides) under uncultured bacterium. RNAcentral describes it as "partial 16S ribosomal RNA". It matches the Rfam family "Bacterial small subunit ribosomal RNA", at positions 354 to 796 of the family's 1533-position model. The record is from RNAcentral.